RNAcentral lists this ribosomal RNA (246 nucleotides) under uncultured bacterium. RNAcentral's name for it is "partial 16S ribosomal RNA". It matches the Rfam family "Bacterial small subunit ribosomal RNA", at positions 109 to 353 of the family's 1533-position model. The record is from RNAcentral.
AGUAACGCGUGGGUAACCUGCCUUAUACAGGGGGAUAACAGUCAGAAAUGGCUGCUAAUACCGCAUAAGCGCACGGGAUUGCAUGAUCCAGUGUGAAAAACUCCGGUGGUGUGAGAUGGACCCGCGUUGGAUUAGCUAGUAGGUGAGGUAACGGCUCACCUAGGCGACGAUACAUAGCCGACCUGAGAGGGUGAUCGGCCACACUGGGACUGAGACACGGCCCAGACUCCUACGGGAGGCAGCAUG